UGAGUAAUGCUUAGGAAUCUGCCUAUUAGUGGGGGACAACAUUCCGAAAGGGAUGCUAAUACCGCAUACGUCCUACGGGAGAAAGCAGGGGCUCUUUAUGACCUUGCGCUAAUAGAUGAGCCUAAGUCGGAUUAGCUAGUUGGUGGGGUAAAGGCCUACCAAGGCGACGAUCUGUAGCGGGUCUGAGAGGAUGAUCCGCCACACUGGGACUGAGACACGGCCCAGACUCCUACGGGAGGCAGCAGUGGGGAAUAUUGGACAAUGGGGGGAACCCUGAUCCAGCCAUGCCGCGUGUGUGAAGAAGGCCUUUUGGUUGUAAAGCACUUUAAGUGGGGAGGAGGCUUACCUGGUUAAUACCUGGGCUAAGUGGACGUUACCCACAGAAUAAGCACCGGCUAACUCUGUGCCAGCAGCCGCGGUAAUACAGAGGGUGCGAGCGUUAAUCGGAUUUACUGGGCGUAAAGCGCGCGUAGGUGGUUAAUUAAGUCAAAUGUGAAAUCCCCGAGCUUAACUUGGGAAUUGCAUUCGAUACUGGUUAGCUAGAGUAUGGGAGAGGAUGGUAGAAUUCCAGGUGUAGCGGUGAAUGCGUAGAGAUCUGGAGGAAUACCGAUGGCGAAGGCAGCCAUCUGGCCUAAUACUGACACUGAGGUGCGAAAGCAUGGGGAGCAAACAGGAUUAGAUACCCUGGUAGUCCAUGCCGUAAACGAUGUCUACUA
This 716-nucleotide ribosomal RNA is filed under the name Acinetobacter sp. RNAcentral describes it as "bacterial SSU rRNA". It matches the Rfam family "Bacterial small subunit ribosomal RNA", at positions 107 to 818 of the family's 1533-position model. The record is from RNAcentral. Lineage: Bacteria; Pseudomonadati; Pseudomonadota; Gammaproteobacteria; Moraxellales; Moraxellaceae.